CUGCAGCCAAUUAAGCCGACCGUCUCCUUGUGGGGGCCAGUGUGCAAUGGCUGCAAACAGCAAGCCUCCUCAGUAGUGUAUGCAGCCUAUUGUUAUGUAUAGGCUGCCCUAAGGGACCUUGGAGACAACC
Molecule: small nucleolar RNA, 130 nt
Filed under: Echinops telfairi (small Madagascar hedgehog)
Lineage: Eukaryota; Metazoa; Chordata; Mammalia; Afrosoricida; Tenrecidae
Description: Small nucleolar RNA SNORA70 (ENSETEG00000022941.1)
Rfam family: Small nucleolar RNA SNORA70
About the family: snoRNA U70 seems to be exclusive to mammals and is a member of the H/ACA class of snoRNA which contain H (ANANNA) and ACA box motifs. H/ACA box snoRNAs are involved in the conversion of uridines to pseudouridines (5-ribosyluracil) a constituent of structural RNAs (transfer, ribosomal, small nuclear, and small nucleolar).
Source: RNAcentral